RNAcentral lists this transfer RNA (73 nucleotides) under Canis lupus familiaris (dog). It matches the Rfam family "tRNA". Rfam says of the family: Transfer RNA (tRNA) molecules are approximately 80 nucleotides in length. Their secondary structure includes four short double-helical elements and three loops (D, anti-codon, and T loops). RNAcentral also lists the same sequence under 2 other names. Lineage: Eukaryota; Metazoa; Chordata; Mammalia; Carnivora; Canidae. The record is from Rfam by way of RNAcentral.
GCCUAGCUGGCUCAGUCAGUAAAGCAUGUGGCUUUUAAUCUCAGGGUCGUGAGUUUAAGCCCCAUCUUGGGCA